CGAAAAAAAGAAAAAAGAAAAAAAAGAAAAAGAAUU
RNAcentral lists this non-coding RNA (36 nucleotides) under Fragilariopsis kerguelensis. Lineage: Eukaryota; Bacillariophyta; Bacillariophyceae; Bacillariales; Bacillariaceae. The record is from RNAcentral.